This is a long non-coding RNA of Daphnia carinata, 841 nucleotides long. RefSeq lists it as uncharacterized. The record is from RefSeq and is a predicted model, not a curated record. Lineage: Eukaryota; Metazoa; Arthropoda; Branchiopoda; Diplostraca; Daphniidae. The transcript has 6 exons.
GAUCAAAUUAUGAAGCUGCAGGCCCAAUUAUUGGAACAACACAAAAUAUUAGAUAACAGCAAUGCUAAGGAUGCUCAAAUUUUGAGUCUACAAGCUCAGGUAGGGGAAAAGAACAAAUUGGAACGGAACAGUUUCCAAACAGUGAAGGAGGUUUUUCCAAACUCAUCCCUAACUGAACAUGAGGAUGAAUUGGCAUUAGGCGAACACAGUCAGUUAUUCAGUCUACCACCUGACAGUGUGUUAAAGUUAAAUUCUGUUAGUGCUGCACUAAAAGAAUUGUUAGUAAUAAGUCCAUGCAGCGAAGGAAGUGAACAAUUGUGGGACCGUAUUUGGGCUGAAAAUGGGUGUGGUACGGAAACCCAGAAAUAGCAUGAGUUCAACAUAAAACAUGAAUUAGAAUUUUAGUGGGGGAUCAAGUCAAGUCUCGAAGUGUUACAGGAUGGAAGAGUGAGCCUACAGUUGAAAAACACUGAAAGUGCAUUACCAUUAAGAGUGUUGGUGAAGCUGGGUACUUAAAUGGCCCUAAAGAUGUUUCGUUUCGUUGGCAUUGCAGCGAUGAACAUCAUACAUGGACUUUUUAGGAAAGGAUUUUCAGCAUACUGGGAACACAACUAUCAACAAUGCAACAUUCUAGGGGUGCUAUUUUAUCAUUCAAGAGCCUUAUACAAUGAUUUUCAUCUGCAAUUUGUAUGGCCUUUCCCAAGCUUCUGCCAGAAGUUGAAUCUAUAAGUCACAUAAGUCACAUGAGCAACAAUUGAGAUGCUUAAUGGUGUUGUUUUUCUUUUCUCAGCAUAGGUUAAUAGUAACAUUGGAUCUGAAAAGAUUCUUGGUUGGGGCAAGA